UGUGUGGCAAGCCCUCUCUACGGAAUUUGGUCUCCAGGGCCACUUUUGACCUUAAUCCUCCUUGGAGCCAUCAACCACAGAGUUGCUUGCUUCUAAUAGUGGUGUAAUGCAUAUAUUAAGCCCUGGAAUGAAGACAUGAUUCAUUUCCCAUGGAUCACUGAGCACUUUGUGGCAACCUAGCCCCAUUCUGAUGACCCUAAGAUAAAGAAAUCCAGAAGCGUGCGACUUGAACCAUCUUUUCUCCCAUGAUGCACUGCUGUCAACACCGCAUAAUUGUAAAAGCCCAUGCCAUGCUGAUUAUAUAUAGAAAUGAUCUAAGUCAACUGCAUUCCAUUUGGUAUACAGGCAAGGAUUUUUCCAUGCCUAUCCAUCUGUUGCUGGUGGCAAUGAUGAGUUUUGUCAUUUGCUUUUUUUUCUUCCUUCCUUCCUUCUUCCUUUCUUUCUUCCAUCCUUCCUCCUUCCUUUCUUUCUUCCAUCCUUCCUUCUUCCUUCCUUCCUUCCAUCCUUCCUUCUUCCUUCCUUCCUUCCUUCCUUCCAUCUUUCCUUCAUUCAUUUGUUCCUUCCUUUUUUCCUUCCUUCCUAACUUCUUCCUUCCUUCCUUCUUCUUCUUCUUCUUCUUCUUCUUCUUCUUCUUCUUCUUCCUUCCUUCCUUCCUUCCUUUCUUCCUUCCCUCCUUCUUCCUUCCUUUCUUCUAUCCUUCCUUUCUUCCUCCUUCCUUCCUUCUUCCUUCUUCCCUCUUUCUCUUCCUUUUACUUAAAUAUUUAUGACUACAUUGCAACCAACAUUUUGCAACACCCUCAGCACAGAAGGGAUUAAGUCAUAAUUCACAUCUGAAUAGUACAAUCAGCAAUAGGAAGAGCAGCAGGGAGGAAAAUUGUUCACCUUUUCUCGAUGUUAUAAUGCCUGGCUUGGACCCCAGAUUCAUGUUAUACUCUGAAGAAGUUCAUAAAUUCUGGGCACUGCUCAGCUUGGGGAGGCAGGCAGUAUCCCUUCACACCUCAGGGUGAGAUGAGUGGUCUGUUGAAGCUCUGCCAUCCCAGAAUGUGUUCGCCUCUGCUUGUUUUCUCCCCCCAAGCCAGAGUGUAGUUAAACAUUUACACGUCCCAGGCCGGGAGACCGGGUUCAGGAGAGCUUGAAUAUUUUGCUUGGCUGUUGAUGACAUUGAGGCCGAGUGUGGUUCUCCAGCUUCAAGAUGUCAGUUUGCUGCCUCGCCGUUUUUAUUAGAAUAUCUAGAGAUUGCAGGUGUUGGUUAGGAAAUAAUUUUUCUGCGUUUGGUUUCUCUCCACGCAUUUGGCCUUCCGGGACCUUUCGGACCAGGCUGGAUGGCUGUAUCCUGGUACCAAAUUCGGCCUAUUCCAAAUGGAAAGAACCAUGAUAGAGGAGCAAGACUGUUCUUGGGCUCUGCGGUGGUGGCGGUGGUGGUGAUAUCAGUGGAGUGGUUAUAGGUGGAGGUGAUGAUAAAGAAACCACUAGUGAGAAUAAAGAUGGGUAUUUUCUCAGCUCUUAAACCAAUUUCCCACUUGCUAACAGGUGGGUUCUGAUCUAUUUUCCCUAGAAAACACUGGCCUAUCUGAUCAAACAAGGGCAUUCUUUCUGAGAUCAGACCUUAUGGGCACUUAUGACCAAACUAUACUUGCCUAUUAAUUUACUCAAAACUGGGUUGCCUGCUAAGCCCCCUUCCCCACCUCUGGCAUAAAAAACAAGACAUGUGGAGGAAUAAUUAGAUCACCUGGAGUCCAGUGUUGCCUAUGGCUUAGUGGUGCAAAGAAGCCAGGAUUUCUAGAAGUAUCUGUCUUUUGCCAUUUCUGAGAUGGUGAGAAAAUCUAUCCGGAGUGUUUAUGCCCCUCUUGAUAGCCAAGCCAUAAGCUUCCUUUUAUACUGUGCUAUGAGCUUAGUCACUGCCCCCAGAAAAGACAAUUUCACGAUGACUUACUUCCUCAUAAUCAUUGGAACAGUCUCAGGAGGACACGCACACUGCUGCAUUCCUUAAGGCCUGGCACAUUGUCAAGUGGUAAACUUGUGGAGCAAAUAAGAGACCUGGCCUGGUUCAAAAGGCUGUCAGAAGUGAUCCAGAGUUCAGGCUUCCCCUGGCCUUUUAUCCUCUCACCCUCUUUCCUCUGUGCCUCCGCCUCCUUUCCUUCCGGUCUCUCCAUCUGGAAACCAUGAGCCUUGUAGACUCCAGACACAAAUUCUCAGAUUUCAGAUGUUUGGGAAAUUUCUCUGCUUGGGUCAUUCUUCAAGAGUAAGAGAAUUCAAUAAGGGCGGAAAAACAGCUGAGACCCUUCCACAGAAAACAAAUAAGGGACGGCCAUCCCCUCUGCCAACUCAGCGCCAAACCCCCAGCAAUAAUCUAACUUCAGAAAAAGUAUUGAGAUCCUCCCCCCCACCCACCAGAAGAGAACAGAAUAGGAAAACAAAAUGUCCGCUCAUAAAAACAUACUUUUCUCCCUCGUGAGGCAUAAACACAACUGGCAUCAGAUAAUACGACGUAAUUGAUUUUGUGUGUCUUACUGGGGAAGGGAAGGGUCUCUGGAGAGUAGACCCACCAGUGGUGGAAUGAAGGGAAAGGUAAGGUUUAGCCUAAAUUGUUAGGGAGAAACUGUUAACAUUACGAACCACUUGACUCCAGUGUUGAAUCUCCAGGACGAAGAGCAAAUGUGUGGUCUUUGGAAAAUGAAACGAGGCCGCUCCUGAUCCUGGGUUUAGAAACAGACAAACUUGGCUCUGGUACUGGCUCUGUCCUUGACUCUGAGGGAUUAAAGGGGAAGCUGGAUCUACAGGGCUUAGGACAGUACCUGCACUUAGGAAGCGGUAGCUUGUGAUGACUGCUUAUCGUGAUGACCGUCAUGCAUCCGAAUGGAGUCUUCUUGGGGCCGUGGAAGAUGGAGCUUGCCCUUACGUUGCCCCACACUGGCUCCUCUGCUCAGCCUCCAACUCUUCCCCGAGGCCACCGCAUAGCCCUCUCUGCCACACCCAUCCAGUCACACUUUCGUAUCCGUAUCUCAAAUUACAUGCACUUAUUUGUUCAUACAGUAACUUUUUGAAGGUUGUCUUGUUCGUUCACUGCUGUAUUAGCAAUGCUGACAAAAUUGCCCGCCGCAAAAUAGAUGUUCGAAAAAUACUCGCGGACUCUGGGACUAACGUCUUGAUAGCAUUCAUAUCCAGUUACUCCAGAUAUUACAUCUUGAUGCAGAAAACUGGGUGACGCCCUUAGCGACAUCUUUGCCAGCAGGAGUGCCCAAAGCAUGUGGUGCCACCAAAAGGCACUUGCUUUUCCCAGGAGGAGGGGGACGAGAGCUGGGAAACCUAGCUGCUGUCCCUGCUGUGC
Molecule: long non-coding RNA, 3328 nt
Filed under: Lynx pardinus (Iberian lynx)
Lineage: Eukaryota; Metazoa; Chordata; Mammalia; Carnivora; Felidae
Source: RNAcentral